Gorilla gorilla gorilla (western lowland gorilla) is the source of this 3808-nucleotide long non-coding RNA. RefSeq lists it as uncharacterized. Lineage: Eukaryota; Metazoa; Chordata; Mammalia; Primates; Hominidae. The record is from RefSeq and is a predicted model, not a curated record. The transcript is spliced from 7 exons.
GGCAAAAGGGCUUCCGGUCUGCGGGAAACUGGAGGCUAGCGGUGGGCGUGGACCGUCGAGGUGACUGGCGGCUGUCGGAUCUGCAGUUGUUUGCUGACCAGGCAGCCGUAGCAAGAAGGCGUGCUCUACUUCUGAUAUUAUCUGGAAGACUGUUCUAAAUGAAGCCACCAGGCAGCAGACGUGCAGCUGAAGCUGUCUUGGAGCCUGUAGACCAGCCCAUCCACCUGCUGAAUACCAGUGAGUGACCUACGUCAAAGCUACUAGAAGUGGAAUUGCCAGCUGAGCCCUGCCUAAAUUUCUGAGCCACACAAUCGUGAGAUACUAUAAAGUGUCCAAUAAUGGAGACAUUGCUGUGUUUGUGCCCACUUUACAAAUAGGGAAACAGAAUCACUAGGAGAAUGGUAGAAAUGCUGCACAAAACCAACUCAACUAUUUUCAUCUCACUUGAUAUAUGCACAAUCUACCAACACUGCUCACCUUGGGCUUAUUGAUCUGGUGACCACGAAGGUACCUGAAGGAGACUGCUGAUGACCUGAGACCCCAUGAGGAACACAGAUAAGGAAGUCUUGCUAUGUUGCCCAGGUUGAGCUCAAAUUCCUGGGCUGAAGCCAUCCUCCCACCUUGGCCUCCCGAGUAGCUGGGACUACAGGCAAGAGCCACUGCACCUGGCUCAACAUUGAGUUAGCAGCAGUGAAUCUGUACAAGUCUGCAGCAACUCAAUUCUUGCCUCCUUAAAAGAAAGAAUUCAUCUGAGCAUAAUGCACAGUGUGAAAGUAUAUUUUAAAAGUUUUAGAGCAGAAAUGAAAGGAAGUAAAGUAUAUUUGGAAAAGGGCCAAGCAUGCAACUUGGGAGAUUCAAGUGCCUCCCCUUGACUUGGGGUUUAUAUGUCGGUAUGAUUCCAGGGUUUGCGUUUCUUCUUCCCGAUUCUUCCCUUGGGGUGGGCUGUCUGCGUGCGCAGUGGCCUGCCAGGACUUGGGAGGGGCCGCAUGUACAGUGUGUUUACCGAAAUUGUGCACAUGCUCAUUUGAGGCAUUUUUCCCUUAGCGGUCACGUAUUCCUAGAAGAAGGUCAUAUACCAAUUAAACUGCCAUCUUGUCUCUUAGCGUGCAUGCCUGGGCCCACUCACCCAGUUCCUGAGAUUUUAUUGGGAAGUGGUUGCUCAUCAGCUUCAGGUGUUUUCUAUCUACUGAGAGUUGGCAUGUUCCCUGGCAACAGCUGUGACCAAUUAUAACUUUAGAGAGACAGUUUAACAACUGCCUGACCAUCACCUGAUAGUCACCUGACGUUCUUGGUAGAGGGGGGCCUCUUCUGCCCUGCUCAUAUCUGCCCAACUACCUACUCUAACAAUUAUACUUUAAGAUUGAUCCUUUCCCUUCCAUGAGCAGCAAUCACUUUCCUGAUCUUCUCAUUUCUUGUCCUGAGAACUUGGCUUGACUUUCCAUCUGUCAGGGGUACAUGGGUUGUUGGGCCUGUGUAUACAGGUGGCCAAUCAAAAGGCUAGGAGCCUCAAGAAUAUGGCUAGACAGAAAUGGAGCUGCAUCCCAUUUGCAGCUAGCAAAAUAUGGCCAGACAGAAAUGUGGGUUGAACCUUAUUUGCGGCUAGACUGAUCGUGAUACAGGAGAGAUAAAGAAAUUAUUUAGGCAGAUAGUGAUGGCAAAGAGUCCUUGGCAGAACUUCCCUUCUAACAAAAAGCAGCCCUCGAAAUCAUGUCUUUUCUAACAAAGAGCAGCCUGAGAAAUAGGGAUGCAAAACAUAAAAAAGGAAGCUGGAAGCUUGCACGGAGGAAUGCCAGCAACUGCACCAACAGAAAAGGGCUACCUGGGAGACAGGCAUGUCUGCCAUGGAAGCUCCAUCUUCCCUUUUUUGUUAGCACACGCACAGUAAGAAUGAAAUGGGCAACAUGGAGAAGCUCAGGCAGAGAAUCCACCUGCAUAAUAAAAGAUUGGGGUGGGGGCUGCCAGAGAUUCACACCCUAUGCAGAUGGCACACCUGGUCCUAACUGAUUUUUUUUGUCCUAUGUAGAUCAGACAUCGCCUCCCUCUUAAGUCAUUUAUAAAAACCACUGCAUUUCACCACAAAUUGGCAACCCAUUUUUCCCAGACACCUCUGUGUAGCAGAGAGCUAUUCUCUUUCUUUUGCCUGUUAAAUUUCCACUCUUAACCUUACUCUUUGUAUGUCUGCAUCCUUGCUCUCCAUGGCCAAGAGAAAACGGACCUCAGAUGUCACCCCAGACAAUGAGGCCGCUUCAAUUGUUGCAGCUCUCAAAGCAUUAUUUAAAUCUCUGGGGUUUUUGGCUGUUUUUUGGGAGUGGUUCAUGAAGAGCUGAUCUACAGGGCUCCCAAAUUAGGCCCACCCAGGGAUGCCUUCAAUAGGCAUAAGUUUCUAAAAGUAUUUCAGAAAAAAUUUAUUGCAUCUUUUGAAUGGCUUUUUACAAAAUACCAAAUAAAAAGCUUAAGUGAUUGAUAAGAAAAUUAAAUCUACUUAUCUUUUUGUUUAGCCCUGUUCAUUGAAGAACUCCAUCCUAAAGUCAGUAAUCUAAUUAAGAAACAAGCUAAAUUGAAAAGACUGCCCGUUGAACUAACUUGGUCUCCAAAAUAUAACUUUCUGCAUUUAGCUAGCUAUUUUGAAAUUCCUUGUAAAAAAAUAAAUUUACAUCUAUAAACGAAAUCUGCAUUUCUAAAGGUAUCUUCCUUUCCGUACCUAAACAACAAUAGGAAAGACAUUGGCUUAAAGCUUACAUAACAAAUUUUACUCUUGUUUAAGGUAAUUUUCCUCACCAUCUUGUCUUAACUGAGUCUUUUACCUAUGCCCUUCUUUAUCGCAGCAAAUAAUGGCAUUUAGACCUAAGUUCUAUAAAUUUUCCACCUUGUUUCACACAAACGUCAUGCCUUUGGAAAUGCACAUUUAAGGUCACCUACCUAACAAUUGUUUAGAGCAAGGAAUAAGCAAUCAUAAGAUUGAUAGUCUAAAGUGGAGAGAGAGAGAUCUUGAAAACUAGAAAAUGCAGAAUAUUUAUUUAUUUUUGGAACAGGGUCUCACUCUGUUACCCAGGCUGGAGUACAGUGGCACAAUCAUAGCUCACUGUAACCUUGAACUUCCAGGCUCAAGCAAGUCUCUCACUUCAGCCUCUGGAGUAGCUGGGACUACAGGAGCACACCACCAUGCCCAGCUAAUUUUAUUUUUUUGUAGAGACGGGGCCUCACUUUGUUGCCCAGGCUGGCUUUGAACUCCUGGCCUCAAGUGAUCCUCCCACCUGAGCCUCCAAAAGGGCUGAGAUUAUAGGUACGAAAAAAUUAAUAAAUCUCAGGACCCCAAAAUCACUAAGCCAAAGAGAAAAGUCAGCCUGGGAACUGCAAAGGGCAAACCUGCCUCCCAUUCUAUUCCUAAAUAGGAUGGCUACAAAGAUAAAAACCUACAUACCUCCCUCACAAUUUGUCCACAAAAUAAUUCCUUGUGGACAAAGGACAGACAGAACUCAAAGUCAUCCCUCUGCUCCCAGGAGACAAAUGCACAGCUGAUUGCCUCCUUUGAUUCAGUGGAAGGCUAAUCAGAAACCCAAAAUAAUGCAACCGUUUGUUCUUUGUCUACCUGUGACCUGGAAGCCCCCUCCCCACUUUGAGUUGUCCCACCUUUCCAGACUGAACCAAUGUACAUCUUACAUAUAUUGAUUGAUGUCUCAUGUCGCCCUAAAAUGUAUAAAACCAAGCUGCGCCCUGACCACCUUGGACACCUGUUGUUAGGACCUUCUGAGGCUGUAUCAUGGGUGCAUCCUUAACUUUGGCAAAAUAAACUUCCUAAAUUGAUUGA